GUUUUUAAGGUAGCUGAGAACAUACGCUGUGCAAAAUCUCCAUUUUGCUGUAUUUUCACCGACUAUAUUUGCUGCAUCCCAGUUGUACUGGGAUGUGGGAAUUUCCCACUUCAAAGAUGUAAAUUUAAACCGGAACAUCCCUCCAGUGGGAAUUAUCUGUCAGGAAGUGGGAGAUUUUAGAAAUCAAGAUGGCUACUCGCCACAACUCACCAGGCGCAGUGGAGCAUGUUGGUGUGACUCGACUCUCAGGCUCUACUGACGGAGGAAAUGGCUGCAGAGAGAAGAGCAGCGAGCUCGGUGCUGCUGGUGGUGUUAAAGGUUAAAGGUCACGCUCACAGAGGCAUUGACAGGCUCCCAGCGGUUCGAAGGCAUAUGAAGAAAAGGAGAGCUGUGUACUGCGGCGAGUGGACAUUCACGGCGAACUGACUGGAUUCAGCUGGCAACAAUUAUUCUCAGGUGCCCUCUCACUGCGCUCAGCCAUCGCAGAAGGGUCAGUGGCAGCUGUAAUUAUUAUACCCUGGCCCUUUGUUCUCGCUGCAAUUUCGGAUCAUUAUUGUUGCUUUCUGUGGAGGAAUUGCUCACACCUCAAUCGUUACGUCCACAU
Long non-coding RNA from Austrofundulus limnaeus, 604 nucleotides. RefSeq lists it as uncharacterized. Lineage: Eukaryota; Metazoa; Chordata; Actinopteri; Cyprinodontiformes; Rivulidae. The record is from RefSeq and is a predicted model, not a curated record. The transcript is spliced from 3 exons.